AGAUGACUGGGAGGUACAACAUAUUCUGCAUUAUCCUGACAAACAAAUGAUUGUAAAGGCCAGAGGUGCCUGGAGUGAUGCUGAUUGGCUACAUCCCCUCUGAUAAAAGGCUGGCUUCCUGUUUCCUCCCUCUCUCACUCUCCCCAUGCCAGACCAACUUCCUUUAGUCAGACCUUUGUGUUAGUGCACUCGUCAACACCUCUCAUACAUCAUAUUCACACACCCACAUGCACACUACUGAUGUUACAGACUCUCCAUACCCCAUAUUCAUUUGUAUUCAUUGGUUAUUUAAUUUACUGUUAUCAUAAAUAACUUACUUUCUUUAA
This is a long non-coding RNA of Notolabrus celidotus (New Zealand spotty), 326 nucleotides long. RefSeq lists it as uncharacterized. The record is from RefSeq and is a predicted model, not a curated record. NCBI's taxonomy places the organism in Eukaryota, Metazoa, Chordata, Actinopteri, Labriformes, Labridae. The transcript is spliced from 2 exons.